Molecule: ribosomal RNA, 755 nt
Filed under: uncultured bacterium
Lineage: Bacteria
Description: bacterial SSU rRNA
Rfam family: Bacterial small subunit ribosomal RNA
Source: RNAcentral
UGCAAGUCGAACGGUAACAGAGAGAAGCUUGCUUCUCUGCUGACGAGUGGCGCACGGGUGAGUAAUAUAUAGUUAACGUGCCCCUAAGCCUGGGAUAGCCACUGGAAACGGUGAUUAAUACCGGAUACUCCUUCUUACUAUAAGGUAAGUUGGGAAAGGUUUUUCGCUAAGGGAUCGGACUAUAUUGUAUCAGCUAGUUGGUGAGGUAAGAGCUCACCAAGGCGAUGACACAUAGCGGGUUUGAGAGGAUGAUCCGCCACACUGGUACUGAGACACGGACCAGACUCCUACGGGAGGCAGCAGUGAGGAAUAUUGCACAAUGGGGGCAACCCUGAUGCAGCAACGCCGCGUGGAGGAUGACGCAUUUCGGUGUGUAAACUCCUUUUAUAAGAGAAGAAAAUGACGGUAUCUUAUGAAUAAGUCCCGGCUAACUCCGUGCCAGCAGCCGCGGUAAUACGGAGGGGACAAGCGUUAUUCGGAAUCACUGGGCGUAAAGGACGCGUAGGCGGGUUGGUAAGUCAGGUGUGAAAUCCUACAGCUUAACUGUAGAACUGCACUUGAAACUGCUGACCUAGAGUAUGGAAGGGGCAGGUGGAAUUAGUGGUGUAGGGGUAAAAUCCGUAGAUAUCACUAGGAAUACCGAAAGCGAAGGCGACCUGCUGGGACAUAACUGACGCUGAGGCGUGAAAGCGUGGGGAGCAAACAGGAUUAGAUACCCUGGUAGUCCACGCCCUAAACGAUGAAUGCUAGUCGUC